This 491-nucleotide ribosomal RNA is filed under the name uncultured bacterium. Its description in RNAcentral is "partial 16S ribosomal RNA". It matches the Rfam family "Bacterial small subunit ribosomal RNA", at positions 29 to 506 of the family's 1533-position model. The record is from RNAcentral.
AGUGAACGCUGGCGGUAGGCCUAACACAUGCAAGUCGAACGGCAGCACAGUAAGAGCUUGCCCUUACUGGUGGCGAGUGGCGGACGGGUGAGGAAUACAUCGGCAUCUACUUUUUCUUGGGGGAUAACGUAGGGAAACUUAUGCUAAUACCGCAUACGACCUACGGCUGAAAUCAGGGGAUCUUCGGACCUUUCGCGAUUGAAUUAGCCGAUUUCGGAUUAGCUGGUUGGCGGGGUAAAGGCCCACCAGGGCGACGCUCCGUAGCGGGUCUGAGAGGAUGAUCAGCAACACUGAAACUGAGACACGGUCCAGACUCCAAGGGGGGGAAGAGGUGGGGAAUAUUGGCCAAGGGCGGAAAGCCUGAGCCAGCCAUACGGGGUGGGUGAAGAAGGCCUUCGGGUUGUAAAGUCCUUUUGUUGGGAAAGAAAAGUAGCAGGUUAACUCCGCGCUGUUCUGACGGUACCAAAAGAAUAAGCACCGGCUAACUUCGU